RNAcentral lists this transfer RNA (75 nucleotides) under Polaromonas sp. P1-6. Its description in RNAcentral is "tRNA-Asp". It matches the Rfam family "tRNA". From Rfam's summary of the family: Transfer RNA (tRNA) molecules are approximately 80 nucleotides in length. Their secondary structure includes four short double-helical elements and three loops (D, anti-codon, and T loops). Further hydrogen bonds mediate the characteristic L-shaped molecular structure. tRNAs have two regions of fundamental functional importance: the anti-codon, which is responsible for specific mRNA codon recognition, and the 3' end, to which the tRNAs corresponding amino acid is attached (by aminoacyl-tRNA synthetases). tRNAs cope with the degeneracy of the genetic code in two manners: having more than one tRNA (with a specific anti-codon) for a particular amino acid; and 'wobble' base-pairing, i.e. permitting non-standard base-pairing at the 3rd anti-codon position. Lineage: Bacteria; Pseudomonadati; Pseudomonadota; Betaproteobacteria; Burkholderiales; Comamonadaceae. The record is from RNAcentral.
GGUUUGUUAACUCAGCGGUAGAGUUCCCGCCUGUCUAGCGGGAUGUCACCGGUUCGAUCCCGGUACAGACCGCCA